UACGAAGGGGGCUAGCGUUGCUCGGAAUCACUGGGCGUAAAGCGCACGUAGGCGGAUUGCUAAGUCAGGGGUGAAAUCCUGGAGCUCAACUCCAGAACUGCCUUUGAUACUGGCGACCUUGAGUCCGGGAGAGGUGAGUGGAACUGCGAGUGUAGAGGUGAAAUUCGUAGAUAUUCGCAAGAACACCAGUGGCGAAGGCGGCUCACUGGCCCGAUACUGACGCUGAGGCACGAAAGCGUGGGGAGCAAGCAGG
RNAcentral lists this ribosomal RNA (253 nucleotides) under uncultured bacterium. Its description in RNAcentral is "partial 16S ribosomal RNA". It matches the Rfam family "Bacterial small subunit ribosomal RNA", at positions 524 to 776 of the family's 1533-position model. The record is from RNAcentral.